UAGGGAAUCUUCGGCAAUGGGGGGAACCCUGACCGAGCAACGCCGCGUGAGUGAAGAAGGUUUUCGGAUCGUAAAGCUCUGUUGUUAAGGAAGAACGAGUGUGAGAAUGGAAAGUUCAUGCUGUGACGGUACUUAACCAGAAAGCUCCGGCUAAAUACGUUCCAGCAGCCGCGGUAAUACGUAUGGAGCGAGCGUUGUCCGGAAUUAUUGGGCGUAAAGGGUACGCAGGCGGUUUAAUAAGUGGAAUGUUAAAGAUCGGGGCUCAACCCCGUAAAGCAUUGGAAACUGAUAAACUUGAGUAGUGGAGAGGAAAGUGGAAUUCCUAGUGUAGUGGUGAAAUACGUAGAUAUUAGGAGGAAUACCAGUAGCGAAGGCGACUUUCUGGACACAAACUGACGCUGAGGUACGAAAGCGUGGGGAGCAAACAGG
Molecule: ribosomal RNA, 429 nt
Filed under: Bacteroidota bacterium
Lineage: Bacteria; Pseudomonadati; Bacteroidota
Description: Bacteroidetes bacterium partial 16S ribosomal RNA
Rfam family: Bacterial small subunit ribosomal RNA
Source: RNAcentral